UGGUGGGUAGUUUGACUGGGGCGGUCUCCUCCCAAAGCGUAACGGAGGAGCACGAAGGUUAGCUAAUCCUGGUCGGACAUCAGGAGGUUAGUGCAAUGGCAUAAGCUAGCUUGACUGCGAGCGUGACGGCGCGAGCAGGUGCGAAAGCAGGUCAUAGUGAUCCGGUGGUUCUGAAUGGAAGGGCCAUCGCUCAACGGAUAAAAGGUACUCCGGGGAUAACAGGCUGAUACCGCCCAAGAGUUCAUAUCGACGGCGGUGUUUGGCACCUCGAUGUCGGCUCAUCACAUCCUGGGGCUGAAGUAGGUCCCAAGGGUAUGGCUGUUCGCCAUUUAAAGUGGUACGCGAGCUGGGUUUAGAACGUCGUGAGACAGUUCGGUCCCUAUCUGCCGUGGGCGCUGGAGAAUUGAGGGGGGCUGCUCCUAGUACGAGAGGACCGGAGUGGACGCAUCACUGGUGUUCGGGUUGUCAUGCCAAUGGCACUGCCCGGUAGCUAAAUGCGGAAGAGAUAAGUGCUGAAAGCAUCUAAGCACGAAACUUGCCCCGAGAUGAGUUCUCCCUGAGACUUUAAGUCUCCUGAAGGAACGUUAAAGACGAUGACGUUGAUAGGCCGGGUGUGUAAGCGCA
Molecule: ribosomal RNA, 624 nt
Filed under: Klebsiella pneumoniae
Lineage: Bacteria; Pseudomonadati; Pseudomonadota; Gammaproteobacteria; Enterobacterales; Enterobacteriaceae
Description: partial 23S ribosomal RNA
Rfam family: Bacterial large subunit ribosomal RNA
Source: RNAcentral